Long non-coding RNA from Equus caballus (horse), 962 nucleotides. NCBI's taxonomy places the organism in Eukaryota, Metazoa, Chordata, Mammalia, Perissodactyla, Equidae. The record is from Ensembl.
CCCUUUUCUGGUAACUGACUUUGGUUUUAUGACUAAACAUAUAGGUAGACACUGCAGCUAUUUUAUUUCCUUGACACUGACUUCAAAAGUAGGAGAAGCAAGUGCUUUCACUCUGGACUGGACUUGGAUAAAUUCUUUCCAAAUUCUUGCAUAUGUGGCCUAGGAAGCUUGCUGGACCCAAUGAAGACCUGAUUGUUGCCUGAAACUCCACUUCCUGAGAGAAUUUAUCUUGAGGAGCAGGCCAAAGUCGGCACCAUUGAAAGCAGCCAAAACUCCAAUAGAAAACUCAGAGUCUUCCUGCCUGAAGAGCCACAGGAUCAAGUUAGGGGCAACCACAGUUGCUGGGAUGUGAGAGGGAAAUCCUGGAAAGGAGAAAUCAGAGAGGAGGAGCCCUAAUUUUGUAUGAAACAGUAUACUGCUUCAACAGAAAUGAGAGAGGCUUCCUGUAUCAAUGGGAAUCCGAUUCUGCACUCUCAGCUACAAUGUACGGGCAGUUUGGCUUGGAUAUUCAUGUGAUGUCUACUCAUAUUCUUUUGUAUUCCUGCCCAAACCAUUUAGAGAUAAUAAAUCAGAGCUGAAUAGCAGCUUCCUGUGUAUAAUUAGAUGGCAAAUUAUUACUAAUUAAGCUACAUAUAGUUAUGGUUCAAAUUAAAAUAGUUUAUUGUUAAAGCUAAGAUUUUUGUGAAUAUGAAUAUCCAGCAUUUCCUUAUAGUAAAAUGAACUAUGCAUAUGCUCACAGUGUUGACCUUAUGAAUAUUUGUCUUUUUUGGUCGUUGUUUUUAAAGAUUCCUAUCCGCAUAAACAUAAAGCAGAAUCAAAUGGUCAUAUUAAGUAUAUAGGGAGAAGAAAAUUGAAUAAAUUGAGGAAUCAAGAUUUUUUUUUCACAUCCAGUAAUCCAGGAUGAAAAUCAACUCCAACUAAUUUGGACUGUCUUUCAAUUGUAUUGAUUCUGCUAUGAGGAG